Molecule: ribosomal RNA, 253 nt
Filed under: uncultured bacterium
Lineage: Bacteria
Description: partial 16S ribosomal RNA
Rfam family: Bacterial small subunit ribosomal RNA
Source: RNAcentral
UACGUAGGCAGCGAGCGUUGUUCGGAGUUACUGGGCGUAAAGCGCACGUAGGCGGAUCGUUAAGUCGGGGGUGAAAUCCUGGAGCUCAACUCCAGAACUGCCUUCGAUACUGGCGAUUUUGAGUCCGGAAGAGGUGAGUGGAACUCCUAGUGUAGAGGUGGAAUUCGUAGAUAUUAGGAAGAACACCAGUGGCGAAGGCGGCUCACUGGUCCGGUACUGACGCUGAGGUGCGAAAGCGUGGGGAGCAAACAGG